Molecule: ribosomal RNA, 135 nt
Filed under: uncultured eukaryote
Lineage: Eukaryota
Description: partial 18S ribosomal RNA
Rfam family: Eukaryotic small subunit ribosomal RNA
Source: RNAcentral
UGGUGGAGUGAUUUGUCUGGUUAAUUCCGUUAACGAACGAGACCUUACCCUGCUAAAUAGGAGCCUGAUUCCUAAUCGGGUGUCCUUCUUAGAGGGACUAUGUGCGUAAGCACAUGGAAGUUUGAGGCAAUAACA